This 253-nucleotide ribosomal RNA is filed under the name uncultured bacterium. RNAcentral describes it as "partial 16S ribosomal RNA". It matches the Rfam family "Bacterial small subunit ribosomal RNA", at positions 524 to 776 of the family's 1533-position model. The record is from RNAcentral.
UACAGAGGUCUCAAGCGUUGUUCGGAUUCAUUGGGCGUAAAGGGUGUGUAGGUGGCGCGCUAAGUCGGGUGUGAAAUUUCGGAGCUUAACUCCGAAACUGCAUUCGAUACUGGCGUGCUUGAGGACUGGAGAGGAGACUGGAAUUCCCGGUGUAGUGGUGAAAUGCGUAGAUAUCGGGAGGAACACCAGUGGCGAAGGCGACUACCUGGCCUGUUCUUGACGCUGAGGCGCGAAAGCUAGGGGAGCAAACGGG